CGGCGAGUGAGAGGAAGAGCUCAAAGUUGGAACCUGUUUGGCCUAGCUAAACCGGAUUGUAGACUGUAGAAGUGUUUUCCAGGCAAGCCGAGUAAAUAAGUCCUUUGGAACAGGGCAUCAUAGAGGGUGAGAAUCCCGUCUUUGGCUUGAGCAUUUGCCUUUUGUGAUACGCUUUCAAAGAGUCAGGUUGUUUGGGAAUGCAGCCUAAAUUGGGUGGUAAAUCUCACCUAAAGCUAAAUAUUGGCGAGAAACCGAUAGCGAACAAGUACCGUGAGGGAAAGAUGAAAAGAACUUUGAAAAGAGAGUUAAACAGUAUGUGAAAUUGUUAAAAGGGAACCGUUUGGAGCCAGACUGGCUUGUCUGUAAUCAAUCUAGGCUUCGGCCUGGAUGCACUUGCAGGCUAUGCCUGCCAACGACAAUUUGACUUGAGGGAAAAAACUAGGGGAAAUGUGGCCCACUUGUGGGUGUUAUAGUCCCUUAGAAAAUACCUUGGGUUGGAUUGAGGAACGCAGCGAAUGCUUAUUGGCGAGUUUUCCAGGAAGGUUUUCUGAGGUACUACGGUAUCAAGGUUGAUCUUUUUGGUUAUACUUCUAUUCGCUUAGGUUGUUGGCUUAAUGACUCUAAAUGACCCGUCUUGAA
Molecule: ribosomal RNA, 639 nt
Filed under: Rhizopus arrhizus
Lineage: Eukaryota; Fungi; Mucoromycota; Mucoromycetes; Mucorales; Rhizopodaceae
Description: Rhizopus oryzae partial large subunit ribosomal RNA
Rfam family: Eukaryotic large subunit ribosomal RNA
Source: RNAcentral